Molecule: ribosomal RNA, 251 nt
Filed under: uncultured bacterium
Lineage: Bacteria
Description: partial 16S ribosomal RNA
Rfam family: Bacterial small subunit ribosomal RNA
Source: RNAcentral
ACGUAGGGGGCAAGCGUUAUCCGGAUUUACUGGGUGUAAAGGGAGCGUAGACGGCGAGACAAGUCUGAUGUGAAAACCCGGGGCUCAACCCCGUGACUGCAUUGGAAACUGUUUUGCUUGAGUGCCGGAGAGGUAAGCGGAAUUCCUAGUGUAGCGGUGAAAUGCGUAGAUAUUAGGAGGAACACCAGUGGCGAAGGCGGCUUACUGGACGGCAACUGACGUUGAGGCUCGAAAGCGUGGGGAGCAAACAG